AAACAUGUCUUUUUGAAUUAAAUUUAAAGUCUGACCUGCCCACUGAAUAAUUUUAAAUGGCCGCAGUAUUCUGACUGUGCAAAGGUAGCAUAAUCAUUAGUCUUUUAAUUGAAGGCUGGUAUGAACGGUUGGACGAGGUAUAAGCUGUUUCAUAUAAAUUUAUAAUAGAAUUUUAUAUUUUAGUUAAAAAGCUAAAAUAUUAUUAAAAGACGAGAAGACCCUAUAAAUCUUUAUAAUUAAUAAUAACUAAAUUUUUUUGAUUUAUUUUAUUUUUUUAUUAUUAAUUAUUUUGUUGGGGUGAUGUUAAAAUUUAAUGAACUUUUAAUUUUUUAAAAUCAUUAAUUUAUGAAUUAUUGAUCCAUUAAUAAUGAUUAUAAGAUUAAGUUACUUUAGGGAUAACAGCGUAAUUUUUUUUGAGAGUUCAUAUCGACAAAAAAGUUUGCGACCUCGAUGUUGGAUUAAGGUAUAAUUUUGGGUGUAGCCGUUCAAAAAUUAAGUCUGUUCGACUUUUAAAUCCUUACAUGAUC
Molecule: ribosomal RNA, 527 nt
Filed under: Anastrepha striata
Lineage: Eukaryota; Metazoa; Arthropoda; Insecta; Diptera; Tephritidae
Description: partial small subunit ribosomal RNA
Rfam family: Bacterial large subunit ribosomal RNA
Source: RNAcentral